This 359-nucleotide transfer-messenger RNA is filed under the name Mesostigma viride. Its description in RNAcentral is "Standard tmRNA". It matches the Rfam family "transfer-messenger RNA". From Rfam's summary of the family: Bacterial tmRNA, also known as 10Sa RNA or SsrA, is named for its dual tRNA and mRNA-like properties. Its role is to liberate the mRNA from a stalled ribosome. To accomplish this part of the tmRNA is used as a reading frame that ends in a translation stop signal. Lineage: Eukaryota; Viridiplantae; Streptophyta; Mesostigmatophyceae; Mesostigmatales; Mesostigmataceae. The record is from RNAcentral.
GGGGUUGAAAUGGUUUCGACGUUUUAGUAUAUAUCUUCUUACAAGCAAGUCGAGAAUGAACCAAUCUCGUAAACUUGAGUUCAAUUGCAAAUAAAUGCUAACAAUAUUUUACCUUUUAAUCGUAAGACAGCCGUAGCUGUUUAAAAGUUUUUUGAUAACUUCGAGCAUUUUUGAUUUGUUAAAUACAAUUGUUAUAAAACAAAUUAAAUAAUAGUUUUUGUUUCUUUACAAAUAAUGUAGAAAUAAUUUUUUUUAGCUUUUCAAGCUCCAGCUUUGUGGAUUAGCAAAGCUAAACUUGUGAAUACAAAGAAGAGAUCAAACUAAAGCGGACGCGGGUUCAAAACCCGCCAGCUCCAUAA